Echinops telfairi (small Madagascar hedgehog) is the source of this 167-nucleotide small nuclear RNA. RefSeq annotates it as U1 spliceosomal RNA. NCBI's taxonomy places the organism in Eukaryota, Metazoa, Chordata, Mammalia, Afrosoricida, Tenrecidae. The transcript has a single exon. The record is from RefSeq and is a predicted model, not a curated record.
AUACUUACCUGGCAGGGGAGAUACCAUGAUCACGAAGGUGGUUUUCCCAGGCGAGGCUUGUCCAUUGCACUCCGGAUGUGCUGACCCCUGCGGUUUCCCCAAAUGUGGGAGGCUCGACUGCAUAAUUUGUGAGAGUGGGGGACUUCGUUCGUUCACGCUCUCCCCUG